GGGACACGUGGUAUCCUGUCUGAAUAUGGGGGGACCAUCCUCCAAGGCUAAAUACUCCUGACUGACCGAUAGUGAACCAGUACCGUGAGGGAAAGGCGAAAAGAACCCCGGCGAGGGGAGUGAAAAAGAACCUGAAACCGUGUACGUACAAGCAGUGGGAGCACCUUCGGGUGUGACUGCGUACCUUUUGUAUAAUGGGUCAGCGACUUAUAUUCUGUAGCAAGGUUAACCGUAUAGGGGAGCCGCAGGGAAACCGAGUCUUAACUGGGCGUUAAGUUGCAGGGUAUAGACCCGAAACCCGGUGAUCUAGCCAUGGGCAGGUUGAAGGUUGGGUAACACUAACUGGAGGACCGAACCGACUAAUGUUGAAAAAUUAGCGGAUGACUUGUGGCUGGGGGUGAAAGGCCAAUCAAACCGGGAGAUAGCUGGUUCUCCCCGAAAGCUAUUUAGGUAGCGCCUCGUGAACUCAUCUUCGGGGGUAGAGCACUGUUUCGGCUAGGGGGUCAUCCCGACUUACCAACCCGAUGCAAACUACGAAUACCGAAGAAUGUUAUCACGGGAGACACACGGCGGGUGCUAACGUCCGUCGUGAAGAGGGAAACAACCCAGACCGCCAGCUA
Molecule: ribosomal RNA, 620 nt
Filed under: Klebsiella pneumoniae
Lineage: Bacteria; Pseudomonadati; Pseudomonadota; Gammaproteobacteria; Enterobacterales; Enterobacteriaceae
Description: partial 23S ribosomal RNA
Rfam family: Bacterial large subunit ribosomal RNA
Source: RNAcentral